Molecule: small nuclear RNA, 151 nt
Filed under: Arabidopsis thaliana (thale cress)
Lineage: Eukaryota; Viridiplantae; Streptophyta; Magnoliopsida; Brassicales; Brassicaceae
Also listed under: 1 other name
Description: U4 spliceosomal RNA
Rfam family: U4 spliceosomal RNA
About the family: U4 small nuclear RNA (U4 snRNA) is a component of the major U2-dependent spliceosome. The structure of U4 snRNA from yeast and human has been reported.
Source: Rfam by way of RNAcentral
AUCUUUGCGCUUGGGGCAAUGACGCAGCUAAUGAGGUUCUAACCGAGGCGCGUCUAUUGCUGGUUGAAAACUAUUUCCAAACCCCCUCCUAGGCCUAAGCUUGUCUUGGGCCUUCGAGAAUUUCUGGAAGGGCUCCCUUUGGGGUAAAGCC